CCUACGGGUGGCAGCAGUGAGGAAUAUUGGUCAAUGGACGAGAGUCUGAACCAGCCAAGUAGCGUGAAGGAUGACUGCCCUAUGGGUUGUAAACUUCUUUUAUAUGGGAAUAAAAUGUUCCACGUGUGGGAUUUUGUAUGUACCAUAUGAAUAAGGAUCGGCUAACUCCGUGCCAGCAGCCGCGGUAAUACGGAGGAUCCGAGCGUUAUCCGGAUUUAUUGGGUUUAAAGGGAGCGUAGGUGGAUUGUUAAGUCAGUUGUGAAAGUUUGCGGCUCAACCGUAAAAUUGCAGUUGAGACUGGCAGUCUUGAGUACAGUAGAGGUGGGCGGAAUUCGUGGUGUAGCGGUGAAAUGCUUAGAUAUCGCGAAGAACUCCGAUUGCGAAGGCAGUUCACUGGACUGCAACUGACACUGAGGCUCGAAAGUGUGGGUAUCAAACAGGAUUAGAUACCCCUGUAGUC
RNAcentral lists this ribosomal RNA (460 nucleotides) under uncultured bacterium. RNAcentral describes it as "partial 16S ribosomal RNA". It matches the Rfam family "Bacterial small subunit ribosomal RNA", at positions 338 to 795 of the family's 1533-position model. The record is from RNAcentral.